This 467-nucleotide ribosomal RNA is filed under the name uncultured bacterium. Its description in RNAcentral is "partial 16S ribosomal RNA". It matches the Rfam family "Bacterial small subunit ribosomal RNA", at positions 29 to 507 of the family's 1533-position model. The record is from RNAcentral.
ACGAACGCUGGCGGCGUGCUUAACACAUCCAAGUCGAACGGAAAGGCCCUGCUUUUGUGGGGUGCUCGAGUGGCGAACGGGUGAGUAACACGUGAGUAACCUGCCCUUGACUUUGGGAUAACUUCAGGAAACUGGGGCUAAUACCGGAUAGGAGCUCCUGCUGCAUGGUGGGGGUUGGAAAGUUUCGGCGGUUGGGGAUGGACUCGCGGCUUAUCAGCUUGUUGGUGGGGUAGUGGCUUACCAAGGCUUUGACGGGUAGCCGGCCUGAGAGGGUGACCGGCCACAUUGGGACUGAGAUACGGCCCAGACUCCUACGGGAGGCAGCAGUGGGGAAUAUUGCACAAUGGGCGGAAGCCUGAUGCAGCAACGCCGCGUGCGGGAUGACGGCCUUCGGGUUGUAAACCGCUUUCGCCUGUGACGAAGCGUGAGUGACGGUAAUGGGUAAAGAAGCACCGGCUAACUACGUG